UACGGAAGGCAGCAGUGGGGAAUAUUGCACAAUGGGCGCAAGCCUGAUGCAGCCAUGCCGCGUGUAUGAAGAAGGCCUUCGGGUUGUAAAGUACUUUCAGUCGUGAGGAAGGUGUUAAGGUUAAUAACCUUAGCAAUUGACGUUAGCGACAGAAGAAGCACCGGCUAACUCCGUGCCAGCAGCCGCGGUAAUACGGAGGGUGCGAGCGUUAAUCGGAAUUACUGGACGUAAAGGGCACGCAGGCGGUUAAUUAAGUUGGAUGUGAAAUCCCCGGGCUUAACCUGGGAAUGGCAUUCAAGACUGGUUAGCUAGAGUCUUGUAGAGGGGGUAGAAUUCCAUGUGUAGCGGUGAAAUGCGUAGAGAUGUGGAGGAAUACCGGUGGCGAAGGCGGCCCCUGGACAAAGACUGACGCUCAUGUGCGAAAGCGUGGGGAGCAAACGAGGGAUUAGAUACC
RNAcentral lists this ribosomal RNA (454 nucleotides) under uncultured bacterium. RNAcentral describes it as "bacterial SSU rRNA". It matches the Rfam family "Bacterial small subunit ribosomal RNA", at positions 340 to 786 of the family's 1533-position model. The record is from RNAcentral.